UGAGGAAUAUUGGUCAAUGGGCGGAAGACUGAACCAGCCAAGCCGCGUGAAGGAAGAAGGCCUUCGGGUUGUAAACUUCUUUUAAGAGGGACGAAGAAAGUGACGGUACCUCUUGAAUAAGCCACGGCUAACUACGUGCCAGCAGCCGCGGUAAUACGAAGGGGGCGAGCGUUGUUCGGAAUUACUGGGCGUAAAGGGUGUGUAGGUGGACGUGUAAGAUAGCGGUGAAAUGCCGGAGCUCAACUUCGGAAUUGCCAUUAUAACUAUGCGUCUAGAAUUAUAGAGAGGAUAGCGGAAUACCCAGUGUAGAGGUGAAAUUCGUAGAUAUUGGGUAGAACACCAGUGGCGAAGGCGGCUAUCUGGCUAUAUAUUGACACUGAGGCACGAAAGCAUGGGGAUCAAACAGGAUUAGAUACCC
RNAcentral lists this ribosomal RNA (418 nucleotides) under uncultured bacterium. Its description in RNAcentral is "bacterial SSU rRNA". It matches the Rfam family "Bacterial small subunit ribosomal RNA", at positions 355 to 787 of the family's 1533-position model. The record is from RNAcentral.